GGGUUUUGCUAAGUGUAAGAGUUAAAGUUGGGGGACACUGAGGCAGUAUAAAUUAGUUUCUCUCUGCAAGGAGUAUUAUAUUUUUAGAGGUUUAUUAAAGGAUUAAAGAAAAUACAGAAUAAGAGAACACGUGUCUAGGCCUCUGGCCUAGACAACCUCACCUACAUUAUGAAAAGAGUCUGCGUGUAAGCUGAAACAGGAAAGAAAAGAGAGGCCCAGAAGCCUUUCCAAUCAGGUUAAAUACCCCAUCUUGAUCUCGGCCCAGGUGAGAAUUCCGUGAUAUUACAAAGCAUUCUGGGGAAGUGGAGCAAGGACUUCUGGGGAUUGAAGUCCUGGACUCAAGUCUCCAUUUUUACAUAAGUUAGUGACAGGAGUAUGAAUCCUGUCAGACUGUCAGACUGCCUUGGGUGGAACCUUGUGCUAAGGUCUUGCUUAGGAAUUCUGAGACACCCAAGGAAUUGGAAGUUCUGUUAAGCCCAACUGUCUCUCUCUGCUGGUGUUCCCUGCCCAGAGAGAAGGCUAAAGCUUUGGCUCCUGGGAAUUCCUUGAACUGGCCUGACAGUUUUGGAAAGAAGAGAAAGUUGGAAGUUUUGGGAAGAGCUGUGAAAAAAUCACUAGAUAGCUGUCAUCUUUGAUUUUUCUUAAAUUGUGUCCAAGAAUUUGUAAAUAGGAAACAAGACAAUACAGUACAAAAUAAUAUAUCAAAUUAUCAGGGAACAAAUAGAGCAACCUGGUUCUAUGGCAUCUGCAGAGUGCUACACCAACAGACAAAACAAGAUCAUCAUUUCUUGUCUUAUGUAUGGUGCCAACAACCCUAUGGUCAAGUAGACAUCUCUGCAGUGAAAGUAGAAACUGAGGAUGACAUCAUGAAGAUGGCCUUCGUAUUAAAGCAGGUUAAAAAUCCUCCAAAGCAUCUCUCAGAAGUCCCUAAAAAUGAGAUUGUGUCAGGAUGACAGCUUCAUAGUGAGAACUCAAAUUUUGGAUGUUCUUUAAAAAAAAUAAAUGUUUGAUUUUAUAGGAGAGAACA
This 1027-nucleotide long non-coding RNA is filed under the name Monodelphis domestica (gray short-tailed opossum). RNAcentral's name for it is "lncRNA (ENSMODG00000033152.2)". The record is from RNAcentral. Lineage: Eukaryota; Metazoa; Chordata; Mammalia; Didelphimorphia; Didelphidae.